CUGCCAGUUCAUCAGCACACGUUUUCCUUAAUCAAGAACGAAAGUUAGGGGAUCGAAGAUGAUCAGAUACCGUCGUAGUCUUAACCAUAAACUAUGCCGACUAGGGAUCGGGCGUUGUUCUUUUUAUGACUCGCUCGGCACCUUACGAGAAAUCAAAGUUUUUGGGUUCUGGGGGGAGUAUGGUCGCAAGGCUGAAACUUAAAGGAAUUGACGGAAGGGCACCACCAGGAGUGGAGCCUGCGGCUUAAUUUGACUCAACACGGGAAAUCUCACCAGGUCCAGACACAAUAAGGAUUGACAGAUUGAGAGCUCUUUCUUGAUUUUGUGGGUGGUGGUGCAUGGCCGUUCUUAGUUGGUGGAGUGAUUUGUCUGCUUAAUUGCGAUAACGAACGAGACCUUAACCUACUAAAUAGUGCUGUUNGCUUCGGCUGAACUGNCACUUCUUAGCAGGGACUAUCGAUUUCAAGUCGAUGGAAGUUUGAAGCAAUAACAGGCUCUGUGCAUGCCCUUAGACGUUCUGGGCCCCACGCGGCGCUACACUGGACGGGAGCCAGCCAAGUACUAUCCUUGCCCGAAAGGUCCGGGUAAUCUCGUGAAACUCCGUCNUGCUGGGGAUAGAGCAUUGAAAUUAUUGCUCUUCCACGAGGAAUUUCCUAG
This 657-nucleotide ribosomal RNA is filed under the name Kuraishia cf. molischiana GoRoLruMA342. RNAcentral's name for it is "SSU rRNA". It matches the Rfam family "Eukaryotic small subunit ribosomal RNA", at positions 938 to 1617 of the family's 1831-position model. Lineage: Eukaryota; Fungi; Ascomycota; Pichiomycetes; Pichiales; Pichiaceae. The record is from RNAcentral.